This 1346-nucleotide ribosomal RNA is filed under the name uncultured bacterium. RNAcentral describes it as "bacterial SSU rRNA". It matches the Rfam family "Bacterial small subunit ribosomal RNA", at positions 28 to 1381 of the family's 1533-position model. The record is from RNAcentral.
GACGAACGCUGGCGGCGUGCUUAACACAUGCAAGUCGAACGGAAAGGCCCUGCUUUUGUGGGGUGCUCGAGUGGCGAACGGGUGAGUAACACGUGAGUAACCUGCCCUUGACUUUGGGAUAACUUCAGGAAACUGGGGCUAAUACCGGAUAGGAGCUCCUGCUGCAUGGUGGGGGUUGGAAAGUUUCGGCGGUUGGGGAUGGACUCGCGGCUUAUCAGCUUGUUGGUGGGGUAGUGGCUUACCAAGGCUUUGACGGGUAGCCGGCCUGAGAGGGUGACCGGCCACAUUGGGACUGAGAUACGGCCCAGACUCCUACGGGAGGCAGCAGUGGGGAAUAUUGCACAAUGGGCGGAAGCCUGAUGCAGCAACGCCGCGUGCGGGAUGACGGCCUUCGGGUUGUAAACCGCUUUCGCCUGUGACGAAGCGUGAGUGACGGUAAUGGGUAAAGAAGCACCGGCUAACUACGUGCCAGCAGCCGCGGUGAUACGUAGGGUGCGAGCGUUGUCCGGAUUUAUUGGGCGUAAAGGGCUCGUAGGUGGUUGAUCGCGUCGGAAGUGUAAUCUUGGGGCUUAACCCUGAGCGUGCUUUCGAUACGGGUUGACUUGAGGAAGGUAGGGGAGAAUGGAAUUCCUGGUGGAGCGGUGGAAUGCGCAGAUAUCAGGAGGAACACCAGUGGCGAAGGCGGUUCUCUGGGCCUUUCCUGACGCUGAGGAGCGGAAGCGUGGGGAGCGAACAGGCUUAGAUACCCUGGUAGUCCACGCUGUAAACGGUGGGUACUAGGUGUGGGGUCCAUUCCACGGGUUCCGUGCCGUAGCUAACGCUUUAAGUACCCCGCCUGGGGAGUACGGCCGCAAGGCUAAAACUCAAAGGAAUUGACGGGGCCCCGCACAAGCGGCGGAGCAUGCGGAUUAAUUCGAUGCAACGCGUAGAACCUUACCUGGGUUUGACAUGGAUCGGGAGCGCUCAGAGAUGGGUGUGCCUCUUUUGGGGUCGGUUCACAGGUGGUGCAUGGCUGUCGUCAGCUCGUGUCGUGAGAUGUUGGGUUAAGUCCCGCAACGAGCGCAACCCUUGUUCACUGUUGCCAGCACGUUAUGGUGGGGACUCAGUGGAGACCGCCGGGGUCAACUCGGAGGAAGGUGGGGAUGACGUCAAGUCAUCAUGCCCCUUAUGUCCAGGGCUUCACGCAUGCUACAAUGGCUGGUACAGAGAGUGGCGAGCCUGUGAGGGUGAGCGAAUCUCGGAAAGCCGGUCUCAGUUCGGAUUGGGGUCUGCAACUCGACCUCAUGAAGUCGGAGUCGCUAGUAAUCGCAGAUCAGCAACGCUGCGGUGAAUACGUUCCCGGGGCU